Long non-coding RNA from Malaclemys terrapin pileata, 473 nucleotides. RefSeq lists it as uncharacterized. The record is from RefSeq and is a predicted model, not a curated record. Lineage: Eukaryota; Metazoa; Chordata; Testudines; Emydidae. The transcript has 2 exons.
ACAAUCAACUAGCCAUUAGGAGCCUUCACAGAGAGGACUGGGCAGAGGGACCAAAAUCCCGCUGGGUCAAGGGACACAAUACUUGACUGAGUUCGUCCUGGACGAUAUCUCGCUGCUGAGGGUGACCUGCGAAGCAAGAGAGGGUCUUCCACUACAAUGUGGCUUCCGCCCUGGCCUAUAUGCGGCUUGCCUGUGUGCAGCAAUGGUCCCCCCGCCUCUCACGGCACAGUGGCGUGGACAUGUUAGCCUGACUGGGACAAGGACCACAGCGGCUCUCACAAAACCUGCGCAAGUGCAUUGCCCAAGUUCUGACUGAUACCUUUGAAGAGAUCACUGAGGCCGAUUACCGCGAUGUGAAAGAGCAUAUCAAUGCCCUAUUCUGCAUCUAGGCAUGCAUGCAGCCCUAACCCUCCUCGCCCCAAGAGCCUGCACUGAACAAUUUCCUUCCCAAAAUAAAAGCCAUUUACCGUGAA